GAGGGUAUAGCUCAGUGGUAGAGCACGUGCCUAGCAUGCACAAGGUCCUGAGUUCAGUUCCCAGUACCUCCA
Molecule: transfer RNA, 72 nt
Filed under: Camelus bactrianus (Bactrian camel)
Lineage: Eukaryota; Metazoa; Chordata; Mammalia; Artiodactyla; Camelidae
Also listed under: 2 other names
Rfam family: tRNA
About the family: Transfer RNA (tRNA) molecules are approximately 80 nucleotides in length. Their secondary structure includes four short double-helical elements and three loops (D, anti-codon, and T loops).
Source: Rfam by way of RNAcentral